RNAcentral lists this long non-coding RNA (9995 nucleotides) under Homo sapiens (human). RNAcentral's name for it is "HSALNT0381140". The record is from RNAcentral. Lineage: Eukaryota; Metazoa; Chordata; Mammalia; Primates; Hominidae.
GACUCAGGUGCCUUUGCUGUUGCCUCCUUAGGCUGGGAUUUCAUAUGUUCUCACCACUAGGUGCUGCCUACAUUAGGAAUGACGAUAAAGCCUCAGUCAUUUGUGUGCCAUUUGCCAUGUAAAGACAUAUGCUCUGAGCAUAUCUAGCUGUUUUAAAAUCUUUUUAACUGCCAUAUAACAUAUAGUCAUUCCUUAAAUAACUUAAUCCACUUCAAAAUGAGCUACAGUAGUAUCUGUUUCCUUUCCUGUCCUGCUUUCUUUCAUUCUGCUCUCUACUUUGGAAACAAUCAUGUUGGGCAUUUCUGCAGCUUAUUAACUAUAUUUUCAGCUGUGGAAAAACACGUAAGUGCUGGGAAAAUUUCUUUUUUCAAUAUUUUAGCAUAGAGUAUUGCUACUUAUAUUAAGAAUUUGGAAAAGAAAAAUGGUACCAAGACUAAAUUAUUAUACUCCGAAUGAGUGAGAUAUAUCUAGGAAGGAAGCAGAUGAUGAAAGUGAUUUCUUCAAAAGAGUGAAAAAUGAUAAAUGUACACAUGGUGGCGGGGGCGUUUGCCUGAGCUUCAGCCUGUUACUCUUCAUCAUUAAGGUUUAGACAUGUCUGCAACUUUUCAUCACACAGGUAUUAAGGGCAUAAAAAAACAUGUAUUCAAAUAGAGCCCAGAGUUUUUCUUGAGGAUGAGGAGAUGUGGUUAAAGGUGAAUCCACUGUUGGAAUUCAAAUAAAGCUGGGCAUGUGUGUCGAACUUAUGUGGUGGUCCAGUAGAAGUCUAGAAGGGUUAGGCUGUGGCACUAAUUAUCUUUCUGGGAAGAACUCACCCUAAUGGAAGAGAGAGCCAGUGGGGAUAAUCUUGCUUAUAUACGUUUCCUAGGCAUUGGUGAAGAGUAGGAAGUCAGCCUACGGCCUGUAUCCUGAAACGUGGCUAGGUCCUGGAGGAAGAAAGGGCUAGAAGCAAAAAUAGAACCUUUGUGUUAAACUGUCUAACUCACUGAGAGUCAAGAAAUACUUCCUUAGUAAGACCCCUCUUUAACCACAGAAGAAAUCAAUUCUCCUCACUCUAUUGCAGGCUGCUGGACAGUCUGGAUAUCCUCAAAGCAGCCACCAGGAGAUAAUGACCAGGCUGGAUCGAGCAGGAAGAAAGACAGGGUCAUUAGGCAGAACAGAGCACACAUGCAGCACCUAAUGGAUGCUGCAAAAGGCAGCAGGGCUGCUGAAGCCACAGGGGCAGUGGCAGGCAGUGGGAGAGGGUGUCCUUCCUGGUGGAGCCUCAAGUAAAGUAAAUGCAGGUGCUGAGAAAAUUGCUUCUGAGUACACAUGCGGUAUCACCUGGGAGUGCCUGGGAGGACUUGGAGAGGGGCACAUUUACAGUUAUGGACUUCCUGCAUGAGCAAGUAGGGCAUAAAUCCAGGUUAAUUGGGUUACGGGGAUAAAGAUUUAGUAAGCCUUUUGACUUACACAUCACAUAUAUAUGCUAUUUUAGUGCAGAAAGACUUAAAUUUUAAAUAUGUUUUAGAAGCAGUGAAGUUCAAAGGCCUCCUUUGGGGUCAAUUAAGACCUGCGUAUAUGUACCUUCAAAUGUUUAAGGGAGUUGCUCCUCAAUUUAGGGGCAGCUUAAGCGAAUACGUACCUAAAUAGGCAGAAAAAACUGGCCACUGAAAAGUCUUCUGUUUUCUGUUUUUAAACUUGUAGACUCAUAUUUGUACAUUACAUCAAGCUCCAAACAUGUAGGAACAUGCUGGUCACAAUAAACUAGUGAAUUCUGCCCCAAAUAUAUAUCUCAACAUGGUUUUUCCACUGCAGCAUGGUAUACAUUCAUAUCCUUCCCUCUAUAUCUUCUUAUUUCAUUUACAAGUGUUUUAUUUAUUAAGAUCUAUGUAAUGGGCUGUAAAGGUAACAUAGACGCAAAAGUUACAGACAGAAACCCUAUGGUUACUCCAUUCUUCUAUUUGUUACACAAUCCGUGUUAUGGCACAACUAAUAUGGUCACUUAAAUGUCCCAAGUCUGACAGUCAGUGAAAAUUCAUGAUACAACUUUAAGCUAUUGUAUUGAGUGUUUAUGUAAGUUCAAUGAAUAUAGGAAGAACACAUUGAAUUCUCACCUAUAAUGUUUUCUAUAAAUGUGUGAACCAGAAUCAAAUAUAUGAACAUAGGCUAGAAAAAAGCAGAGUGUUCCGUAAUAAUUCAAGGAGUAAAAUGUAUUAAUGCUUAUUUUUGUAUAAUUUAUAGCUUGGUCCUGUAGGAAAUUACUGGAGAUUACAAUGACAUUCAAAGGUAAAAGGAUUCAACAUUACAAAUGUUCCAUUUAAUUGUACCAGAAACAAGGUGCUGAAAGUAUGAUUUAAAUACAUAUACUUCAGAUUUUGGGCAGAAGGAGAUUGAAUUAUUGUUGAAUUUGGAUCCAGAGAAAAUAUUAUAUAAGGAUUAUAUAUACAUAUAUGAUUUACACAUAAUAUACAUUAAUAGGUAAUGGCAUAUAUAUGUUCAUACCCAAAUAUAGGAGGUGAUUUGAUGCUUAUGAGUUCUUGAAACACUGCUCUUUAACUGGGAAGAGAAAUUAUGAAGGGAAUAAUGAGGAAAAGCAAAAAAAGUAGCUUUCCUCCACCAGAUAACAGUUGGUAACUUUGCAAUUUUAAUGAAAAUCUAGCAAAUCAGGUAUUGUACAACUGUUUUCUCCUCACCAAAACAGGUAAGGAGGAAGCUCAUUUUCUACUGUUGAAGUCUACAGAUGAAAAUUCCUCUAAAAGUAAAACCAUCCCCAGUAGAUGUAAUUAGUCCAGUUUUUGGUCAUUAAUAGUUCAUUUAGGUUAAUCUAGAAAAUAUAAUUGCCAGUGACAGAGGAGGAGGUAAAGAAGUUUAUGAAUCAGUAAUCUAUGGAUUAAAUAUUUUUAUGUCUUUUAAAUCAUCUAAGUAAGUAAAUUACCAUCAUGUUCCUUUAAGGAAACGGCAGAAAAUUCAAGUCUACUCCCACUCGGCACACAAAUGAACCAUUCCAUAAUAAUAUUAUCUUGACUGCAAAAAGAACAGUCUUUGUUUACAUGUAAGCUGGAAAACUUUUAAAUAAUAAUCUUGAGGGUGGAGAAUAUACAGCACUCUCUUAGGUCAAAUUAUGACCACAGUUAUAACAGACAGUGCAAAAAGCUUUGAAAGGGAUAAGAUAAGACAAAGAGAAAUGACAGGAAAACAAAGUGGCCAAAGAAAUGUUUGGCAGAAGCCCAGCAUACUCCUGGCAUCCUCUCCCUAGGCCUUUUGCCUGUCUGCAGAAUUAUCACUUAUCUUCCACCAGCUUCUCUCUCUUUAAAGAAAGGCCAGUGUACCCCUUCCAAUGCUUCAUCAAUACCUCACAUGUCACAGAGUACAAUGUAAAUGGGCUACAAGCCCAUAUUUCAUGGUUCUCCAAAACAGCUUCUCAUAAGAACAAGGUUACGCAUUUGCAAGAUUUAUAAAACAGAGGGCUGAAUCUUAAUUAGGCCUGCACUGUUAAAUGAAAAUAUUUUCUUAGACACAUUGGCACUUUUCCCUUCAAGCCAAUAAUGCUCUCCUUCUCAAACUGUCUGCUUGCUUGUUUUAAAUAAAAGGUAAGUAGAUAUUUACUUAGAGUGAUAGAGGAAAUACACACCAACUACUUGGUAUAGUAGGUAGGUGGAAAGGGACAAGGAUCCAGAUGUUCUGAGUUACAUGCUGCUGCUGCCACUAGCUUGCUUUGUCACCUGGAGACAGUCAUUAAUCUUGAUGAACCUCCAUUUGUCUGUCUAUAAAUUGAGAAAGUAGGAAAUUUCUAAGGCUGCUUGUUAGUUAUAUGAUCUGUGAUCUAACCAUAUUGGUCAAUUAUAAAGUGUCAUGCCAGAGAUAACAUUUUAUGGGUCAAUUAGAGUAUGUGGUGACUGACUGGGGAAGUCAUAUAUGAUUUUAAUAAACUUCUUUUUAAAAAGAAAUGUAAGUUCUACAAAUCUACUAAACAUAUUCCUAGAUCCUUGAUCUCACCUUCACCAAAAGGUAUCUAUCUGAUCAAGUCCUUAUCAUAAUUUUCAAACAAUUUUAUUUAAGCCUUCUUAGGCUAGUUUCUAAUUUGGCACAAGAAGGUUCAAUGUAGAUCAUCUCCCUUGAUUCUUGGAUCUUAAGGAUGGGAAAUUGGAGGUCAUGGCACAAUUCAGCAGCAAGAGUAUUAGUGCAGCCCAGGUCCUGUGGUUUGGGCCAGGCAUCUCUCCAUUGCCAGAGGUUGCCUUCAGAAGUCUGAAUGGGACACAUAGCCCAUUUUCAGGCCUUGAGAAUUCCUGUGAGAAUUUCAAGCAAGCUUUUGUUUCAACAGCUCACAUGUGCAAGGGCCACCAAGAGUUUAGUAAUGUAAAUAGAUAACAUGUCAUCAUUUAGCCAAGGAAUCACAUUAUGAGCAUAUUCAAACCACAUUCAAAAGGACACCAGAUUUCCUUGAAACAUCUGUGGAUAAAGGAAGAAAAAUCAUGGUGGAUGUGUAGCCAGCCUCCAACAUGGGCUCCAAUGAUUCCUGCCUCUUGGUAUUCAAGUCCUUGUGCAGUUUCCUCCUACAAUGUAUCAUAAUUGGUCUUUGUGACCAAGAGAAUACAGCAGAAGUGAUGGCAUGUCACUUCUGAAGCUAGGUCAUAAAAGGUACUGUGGCUUUGUGGUAUAAUAAGAAAGACAUUCUAUCUUUGUCCAUAGUGCCUGGCACAGAACUCCUGUUGAGGAACCCCUGUUCCCUCAAACCCCUGGAACACCACACAGAGAACUAUCUCCAGGCCUGGACUUCCCCUGACUUGGAGACAGCCUUAUUCUCAGAUCUCUCUCUCUUUUAAAAUGGACUAUCCUCUUUACAACCCAGAGAGCCCCAUCCAAAUGUAAGGACUGGUCUCCAAGGGGGAAGGGGAGGAGGGAUGCCAUUUAGGGUUAUAGAUUCCCCAACUCUGCCAGCUCUAACUGGCCCCUGAGUUGCUACUAUGUAAAUUAAAUCUACCCUGCACCACCCCUCUGUCUCUAUAUAUAUAAAAAAAGUAGUAGGGUGAUAGGAGCAUAUGUGUUCUAAUGAGGCAACUCUUAGCAAGCCUCUAGAUAGCUUCAGGAUGGAGGCAGGUCAUCAGAAAGACCAAGCCUUCAUUAGAAGCUUGGAGCUUUCAGCCCCAACCCUCAACCUCCAGGUCCAGGGAAAAGGGGUUAGAGAUUGAGUUAAUCUUGAAUGGUCAGUGAUGUAAUUAAUUGUGCUUACUUAAUAAAACCUCCAAAAAAGCCCCUAAACAAUGGAGGUUUAGAAGAGCUUCUGGGUUGGUGAACACAUGGAGGAGCUGGGUGAGUGGUGCACAUGGAGAGUGCAUGGAAGCCUCCAACCCCCAUACCUUCUAUGAAUCUCUUCCAUUUGGCUGUUCCUGAAUUGUAUCCUUUAUAAUAAACCUGUAAUAGCAAGUAAAGUGCUUUCCUGAGUUCUGUGAGUAAUUCUAGCAAAUUAUUGAUCCUGGGCUGCCUGGUGGGGAUCGGGGAUGUGGUUGGGGAAAUGUCCGAGUUGGGGAGGUGCUGUUCUCUGAAAGGUAGCCUAAGACACCCCAUCUGCAGUUGGCAUCUGAAGUAGGGGCAGUCUUGUGGGAUUAAGCCCUUGACCCAGGGGUGUCUGCACUAACUCUGGGAAUUGGUAUCAGAAUUGAAUAGAAUUGUUGGACACCCAGUUGGUGUCCGAGUUGGUUGGUGUGAGUAAAAGCCUCUUAGAUUUAUUGCUUGUUCUCUUUUCCUAUCUGAUCCUUUCUCUCUGUCUCAGAUCACUCAUUGUGGAAGAAAUCUGAUGCCAUGUCUUGAGGACACUCAAGUGGCCUAUGGAGAGGCGAACAUAAAGACAAGAAACCCAAUCUCAAGCACUAUGAGACUCCCUCCUCUCCAUCUCCAAGGGUCAGGCCAUGGUCUUAGUCAUUGCCAAGAGCAUCACAGAAGGCCUCUGCCUCCGGUUCCUACCUGGGCCCUUUCUAUGCUCGUUAACUGAUGCUGCAGCCUGACUUCUUCAAGACUAAGUUGGGCUGUAUGCUUGCAGUCAUGGGAGGAAAACAAAAGAGGAUGAGGAACUUGGACUCAGCUAGCUUUGGCGACUUGUUGAGAAAGUCAGAACCAGUUAGUUGUGGAAUAUAAAAUUGAGCUCGGCUCUCUUCCUACCUAGUCUUUUCUCUGCUCCGCUCCCACACUUCAGUGAGAGUUGCUUUCCUGAAGGAGUAAGUUCUAAAGCAGGAUUGGAAGUUCCUAUAGGGACAAAGAGAAGAGGCAUCCAUGAGUGGCAAGGAGUGUGAAAGGGAUGAAAAACACAUAGGAAGAAAUGGAGACAGGCAGAAGGUCCCAGCUACAGGACAGAAAAGCCAGGGUGUGGGCUUCUGAGAGAUGAUGCUGAGUGGUGAGUCACGGGUGACUAAGGGAGCCAUUGACAUCAGAUUGCAAAUUCUCCCCUCCUACCCCAUGAUGAAGAAGUUUAUCUCCUAUAUCUCUUUAUAUAUGAAAAACCAUAAAGAAAACACCAGUAUCUUCACAUAAUGUACCAUCCAAUGAAAGCAUACGCCAUCUCACUUGGGCCCUUUAUCAAUCUUAGUCACAGUGCCCAAUAUCAUUUCCAUUUCUCAUUCUCUGAGUUCUGUUAUCCAAAGCUUAUCCUCUUGCCUGGACUAUAGAGACAGAGGUGAAAUCUUUGAGAAGUGGAUCCUAUCCACUUGUCAUUACACCUCUGUAAUUCUUAGUGAUGUUCUACGUUGCCUCCCACAGUGACCCUGUACAAACCAUUGCAAGAGUUUCGGGGGUGGGGGACUGUUACUUGAGCCAACUUCUUCCAUCCUGCAAAGGCAGGGAUGGAGCUCAGGAGAUGGUGUUUUGCAUCUUUACAACUGGAACAAGAUGAAAGGUCUCUGAAGCAAUAAUGAGAUCCAGGCUUGAUUCAGGACAAGAGGCCAGAUGGGAACAGUAGAGCAUUAGGAUGUUGUGAUGCUGGGGUAACCUUUCCAUAAUGAUGUUGUGUGGCCUGAAGUUUGAUGCCAAGAAUCUACAGUGAUUUCUGGCUUAGAAAUAAGAAAUUGAUCAGUAAAUGAAAAAAAAAAAAGUCUACCUGUAUCCAAUCUCUCCCCACAAGCCCCCCUCCCAGCAUUGUUAUCUAUUUGUAUACACAACAGUAUUUUAGCAAAUGAAAAUUCUCAGAAUUCUAAUCACAUCCUUAUCCCAAAGCCUGGAUUUAGUCAGAAAGCUUUAUGGUGCUUCUGACUCAGUAGAGUUAGUUAUCCUGUUUAAUUGGAUUGACGGUGACAAUUGUAAUUACCUUAGAUGAGAUUGCCUGUAAUGUAAUUAUACUUCCUUCAUCAGCAUGAGCUGGACUUGUGGAAUACAUACAGAAGAUGCCUCCAAUUACUGAGAGGUUAAGAAGAACAUUAUAUUGCCUCACAAAUCCUGUUUGUUACUGUAUAGAAUUGUAAGAAUUAUGGAAGAAACUGAAGGAAUUACUCCUCUAAAGCAGAUACUCCUGGAAAGUUACACAACUUGGCUAAUACUCUCCUGCUAGAGUUGGACAGGAAGACCUUACCAAAGCUGAAAGAUAAGAGAAACAUUUGUUUGGGCUGAGGCAGCUGUUUCAUGAAAUGCAACAUCAUAUCUCAUUUUUCUUCAUGAACUUCUCUCAUUUAACAAUUAGGCUGGAAGAACACACAUUACCAAUAGGUUCAGUCGUAUAACACUCAGAACCUGGAAAUAAUGAGUUGGAAGUUUCAGAUCCUACAAAAUAAAUCAGUUACUCCAUCAAUUCUAUAAUAUAAGGCAAAGAAUCUGAAAAUUGAAGGAAGAUAUUUUGAACAACACUGUGCAAAAGCUAUUGCUGAGUUAGGUAUUCAGUUAAGCCAAACACCACGCCUGGUUCUCAGUUUGUUUUGCAAAAGCAUUUAUUCUACAUUUUAAAUAUGCACAUGUUUCAACUUGGGCUAGAAAGACUUAACUAAAAAUAACACCACUAUCACCAAGUGAUGCUAUGGUUGACCGAUACUCCAGGAUUUGAAAAAAAAAUUCCCCAAAUGGUACAAAUUCCCCAAAUGCUACAAAUUCCCUAGGAACUGGAAGCUUUUCCUCUCCUUAAGGUGAAAGACUGCUUCUCCUCUUGGUGUUUUGCCAUUAAAAAAAGAAAGUAUUUAGCAAACAACUAGCAGAUCCAUCAAAAGGUUAGGAUUCUUUUUAUUUUAGUGCUCUUUCUUAAUGGGCAAAAUUGAUUGAUUAGUUCACCUGGAAUGUUCUUAGCCUUAGGGCAGAAACAGAGCUUUGUAUGCAUUAGUGGACUGGGUUUAUAAAAGAAAAAAGUCCACAUUCAAGAAUACAGAGAAUUUCAAAAAUACAAGAAAAUAGAAAAAAGAAAAACAAGGUCUGGAAGCAUAUUAAAAUUCUUGUAUUCAUUAAAAAUCAAAUGGCUGUGUUUUCAGUUGUAUUGAGUUAUCAUAUGUGCACUGGUUCUUUGCCUUAGUUCCAAAUGUACUCAUAUUAUCAUCUCUAAAUCCAUCUGGAUAGUUUAUACAGUGAACCCUGGAAUCACCUUAGUUUCUCCAAACUCCAUCUACUUUUUGAGAAAAAAAAAAAGCGUAAGGCAGACCUUUCCCCAUUAGAUCUCCAACCUCUGUUGCUCCCUUCCCUCACUUGUUGGUAAAACUACUUUCUGGAAAGUUUGUUUACCUUUCAGACAAGACAAGGGGUGAAACAGAGGAGCAACAACCUCCUUGCCGUUGGCUAGAAUGAAGUGAGGGGAGUUACCAGGAUGCAGUGGUAUUAAUCCCCUGUUACUCUGAUGUUACCUCAGACCCUCUUCUAUUUAUUUGGCCAUACUCCCAGCACAGUGAUUUACAUCUUGGAGGAAGUAGUAUUUAAAUGUAUGUGCAUAAGAUUCUGUUGGGGAGUUUAUUAACAAUGCAGAUUCCUGAGCUCUAGCCUGCUCUAUGAAAUCUGCAUCCCUAGCAGAUUAGCACCCAGGAAUGCUCAUCGAUAAGCUUUUCCAGCGAGUAUGAUUAGGUAGGUGGUCUCAUGACCACAUUUUGGGAAACACAGACUUAGGAUGAUAUGAAAAGUGACGUCAGGCUGUGCUAAGUGCCAAGCCUUGAGUGGAAAGGUGUUUUAAGUCGCUAUCUCAUCUCAGAGUACAUAAUAAAUAUUUAAAUUUGAGAAAACUAGUAUAUAAUAUAUAAGUAAAACCUGUUAUUAUUUGCUAUUGUUUUUCUUUAUGGUUUCCACACAGAUAUCUGAUCUGCCUUAAGCAUUAUUUGCCUUGGUGAUCUGUAAAUUCCUGAAAAAGGGCGAAAGCUUAGGUGACAUACACUCUAAUUAAUGUGGCCCUCAUAUACUGUUUAAGUAACAGAACCCUUACCACUUACAGCUGGAAAGACUUUUAAAAAAUGUAGCCCAAGCUUUUUAAUUUUUUCAGGUGAAGACGCUUUUAUGCAGAGAGAUGAACUAAUGUAGGAAUCAUUUUGUACAGGGGAGUGGUCUGAAAUAUUAAUGGGCUAUUUUAACCAUCAGCUUGAAUAAUUCAAAGGUGUCUGCUUAAUUCUUGUGCUUUCCCAGUUCAGAUGAAAAUAUCCACAAAGAGAACUAUGUAAGUAAAUACAAUUAAUCAUAAUCAAUCAUGUACUGUCUUGGAUUUCCCUAAAACCAAAACACUGAAAUGGACACAUGACAUCCUUCUGGUCCUAAUUUUCCACCAAUUCAUGAAACAUUUCAUGCUUUGCUUGGGACAGCACAAAUCUUUCAACCUCCAAUUAUAUUAAUAUUAUGAGGGCACUGAAGUGCCCAAAUGUGACAUGAAGUCCUUGAGUGUGGAAUGGCCUUUUCCAAUAGACAUACAGUUUGCAUAAAUGGAAAUGAACACAAUAUUAUCACCCCUUGAGAUUUCCUGGUUUUGGAACAAAGAGGUGGUGGUCCUGGAUGCUUUACAGUAUAAUCUCCUUUUAGAGAUUCUUAGUGCACAAUAUUAUAAAUUCAGAGUUCUUCUGAAAUAAAGAAAAACAUUACCUUUA